GUUGAAACACCGGUCCUCGUACGAUCACCGAAGUUAAGCAACAUCGGACCUAGUCGGUACCUAGAAGGGUGACCGCUUAGAAAUACCAGCUUCUG
Molecule: non-coding RNA, 95 nt
Organism: Acanthosepion pharaonis
Lineage: Eukaryota; Metazoa; Mollusca; Cephalopoda; Sepiida; Sepiidae
Source: the annotation of a GenBank genome assembly